Molecule: ribosomal RNA, 857 nt
Filed under: uncultured Acidobacteriota bacterium
Lineage: Bacteria; Pseudomonadati; Acidobacteriota
Description: bacterial SSU rRNA
Rfam family: Bacterial small subunit ribosomal RNA
Source: RNAcentral
CAAGUCGCGUGCGCAGUUCCCGUAGCAAUACGGGGAUGGGCGCACGGCGCACGGGUGCGUAACACGUGGGCAAUCUGCCCUCCGAUGGGGAAUAACCCCGCGAAAGCGGGGCUAAUUCCGCAUAACAUUCCGGGGACCUCGGUUCCUGGAUUCAAAGCAGUGAUGCGUCGGAGGAGGAGCCCGCGCCCGAUUAGCUAGUUGGUGAGGUAACGGCUCACCAAGGCAAUGAUCGGUAGCUGGUCUGAGAGGAUGGCCAGCCACACUGGAACUGAGACACGGUCCAGACUCCUACGGGAGGCAGCAGUGGGGAAUCUUGCGCAAUGGGCGAAAGCCUGACGCAGCGACGCCGCGUGGGGGAUGAAGCUUCUCGGAGUGUAAACCCCUUUCGACUGGGACGAAUGCCCGCAAGGGAGUGACGGUACCAGUAGAAGAAGCCCCGGCUAACUACGUGCCAGCAGCCGCGGUAAGACGUAGGGGGCCAGCGUUGUUCGGAAUUACUGGGUGUAAAGGGUUCGUAGGCGGUGUGGCAAGUUGGGAGUGAAAUCUCUGGGCUUAACCCAGAGGCUGCUUCCAAAACUGCUGUGCUUGAGUGUGGGAGAGGCGCGUGGAAUUGCAGGUGUAGCGGUGAAAUGCGUAGAUAUCUGCAGGAACACCCGUGGCGAAAGCGGCGCGCUGGACCACAACUGACGCUGAGGAACGAAAGCUAGGGGAGCAAACAGGAUUAGAUACCCUGGUAGUCCUAGCCCUAAACGAUCAGGACUUGGGGUGCCGCCCGUUCGGGCGUCGUCCCGGAGCUAACGCGUUAAGUCCUGCACCUGGGGAGUACGGUCGCAAGACUGAAACUCAAAGGAAUUGAC